This is a non-coding RNA of Macaca mulatta (Rhesus monkey), 750 nucleotides long. The record is from RefSeq and is a predicted model, not a curated record. NCBI's taxonomy places the organism in Eukaryota, Metazoa, Chordata, Mammalia, Primates, Cercopithecidae.
GUGACUCUGGUGGCCCUGUGGUCUGGAACAGACAGCUCCAAGGAAUUGUCUCCUGGGGUGAUGCCUGUGCCCAGAAGAACAGGCCUGUAGUCUACACCAAAGUCUACAACUAUUUGGCCUGGAUUAAGGACAUCAUAGCUGCCAACAGCUAAAGCCCCCAGUCACUCUGCAGUCUCUAUACCAGUAAAGUGACCCUGCUCUCACUGUCUGUGUCUGUACCUGCUCCCUCACACUCUUUCACACUGGAAAGCAUCCUCCAAUCUAAGGUCAGACACGACAGUCCCCCUUAAAGCCACUCUCCAGCCAAGUUCUUUCAAGCCCAACGGAGGAAGAGCCACAAACAUCCCUUUUCCAGAAGAGAAUUCUUGCCUGCCCACUGGUAGAAUGCUUGUUUUUAUCUGUCUUUUGUUGUUUGUCAAAGAAAAAUCAAAGGUAAAGUGGUAUGAUCUUCCACACCUGAACCAGGUUGCAGCCACCAGAGCCUGUUGGGAAGGGGCCCGUCAAGCAUGCAUUGAUCUUGUCACCUGGAAUUUGAGAGAUCAAGAAGACCCAUAGCAACCGACCAUACACCUGCCCAUCAGCACUCAUCCUUUCACAGAAUUAGCUCAAUUCUGGCUCUGCAGACACUGGCAGCCAUAGGUGACAAAUCCUGGGCCUCUGUGGGCUUCCCUCAUCACCCAGGGCCACAAUGGGCUGCCUGUCCUAGGCAGAGACACAGCAACAUUCUAUUAAACUGAAAAUAAGCUUAAA